GGGGUUGUGGUUCAGUGGCAGAGUGCUCGCCUAUCACGUGUGAGGCCCUGGGUUCAAUUCUCAGCACCA
Molecule: transfer RNA, 69 nt
Filed under: Ictidomys tridecemlineatus (thirteen-lined ground squirrel)
Lineage: Eukaryota; Metazoa; Chordata; Mammalia; Rodentia; Sciuridae
Description: Spermophilus tridecemlineatus (thirteen-lined ground squirrel) tRNA
Rfam family: tRNA
About the family: Transfer RNA (tRNA) molecules are approximately 80 nucleotides in length. Their secondary structure includes four short double-helical elements and three loops (D, anti-codon, and T loops).
Source: Rfam by way of RNAcentral